RNAcentral lists this ribosomal RNA (970 nucleotides) under Hyphoderma obtusum. Its description in RNAcentral is "eukaryotic LSU rRNA". It matches the Rfam family "Eukaryotic large subunit ribosomal RNA", at positions 1 to 954 of the family's 3401-position model. Lineage: Eukaryota; Fungi; Basidiomycota; Agaricomycetes; Polyporales; Hyphodermataceae. The record is from RNAcentral.
UUUGACCUCAAAUCAGGCAGGACUACCCGCUGAACUUAAGCAUAUCAAUAAGCGGAGGAAAAGAAACUAACAAGGAUUCCCCUAGUAACUGCGAGUGAAGCGGGAAAAGCUCAAAUUUAAAAUCUGGCAGUCUUUGGCUGUCCGAGUUGUAGUCUGGAGAAGUGUUUUCCGUGCUGGACCGUGUACAAGUCUCCUUGGAAUAGGGCGUCAUAGAGGGUGAGAAUCCCGUCUUUGACACGGACUGCCAGUGCUUUGUGAUGCGCUCUCAAAGAGUCGAGUUGUUUGGGAAUGCAGCUCAAAAUGGGUGGUAAAUUCCAUCUAAAGCUAAAUAUUGGCGAGAGACCGAUAGCGAACAAGUACCGUGAGGGAAAGAUGAAAAGCACUUUGGAAAGAGAGUUAAACAGUACGUGAAAUUGCUGAAAGGGAAACGCUUGAAGUCAGUCGCGUUGUUCAGAACUCAGCCUUGCUUCCGCUUGGUGCAUUUUCUGUUCGACGGGCCAGCAUCAAUUUUGAUCAUUGGAAAAAGGUCUUGGGAAUGUGGCAUCUUCGGAUGUGUUAUAGCCCUGGGCUGCAUACAAUGGUUGGGAUUGAGGAUCUCAGCACGCCUUUAUGGUCGGGGUUCGCCCACGUUCGUGCUUAUGAUGCUGGCGUAAUGGCUUUAAACGACCCGUCUUGAAACACGGACCAAGGAGUCUAACAUGCCUGCGAGUGUUUGGGUGGAAAACCCGAGCGCGUAAUGAAAGUGAAAGUUGGGAUCUCUGUCGUGGAGAGCACCGACGCCCGGACCAGACCUUUUGUGACGGCUCCGCGGUAGAGCAUGUAUGUUGGGACCCGAAAGAUGGUGAACUAUGCCUGAAUAGGGUGAAGCCAGAGGAAACUCUGGUGGAGGCUCGUAGCGAUUCUGACGUGCAAAUCGAUCGUCAAAUUUGGGUAUAGGGGCGAAAGACUAAUCGAACCAUCUAGUAGCUGG